Styela clava is the source of this 830-nucleotide non-coding RNA. The record is from RefSeq and is a predicted model, not a curated record. Lineage: Eukaryota; Metazoa; Chordata; Ascidiacea; Stolidobranchia; Styelidae.
AGUAAAUUAAAAUUAUAUACAACUAAUUGCUGAGUGGAUUGCAUGUGGAUUAACUCAAUGUUUUGGGCAUAUAUUGGAUUAUAUUAAAUUAAUGACAUCGUGGUAAUGAAGUCAAGAAAGAUGAGGACAGUGUGAAGGGGAGACGGACAACCCACCAGAGACAACUCGGCUACAGAGAGACCUGAUAUUCCUAACUAUGGAAAAUUUUACCGAAAUCACAGACUCCACCGAAAACGUAUUUCCCUGCCUUAUCUGUGAUGAAAACUUUCCAUCAGGGCCCAGUUUGGAAAAGCAUAUGUUUUUGCACAUUAAUGAUGGAACUGGAGAUUUAUGCGAAUAUGCAACCAACAACAUUGUGGGAAAUAGUCAGCUUACCAACUCCUGAGAAGCGUUACGGAAAAGACAUUAUCAGUAAAACUUCUUUACAAAGAGGUGGCGAAGAAAAAUGUCGAGAAAGGGGUUUGAGUGAUGAAGCUGAAACUGGAAAAUCAGUUGUGUGCGAUUGAAUGUUACCAGGGUCAAAUUUACAAACCAGCAGUAGAGAUGAAACCUUUGUUUGUCAAUAAUGUGGAAAGAAUUUCAAAUCAGAGUGGCAUUUAAAUGUGCAUAAGCGAACUGGUGAGAAACCUUAUGUUUGUAAACAAUGCGGAAAGUGGUUUUCGUAAUCAUCUCAUUUACAAGAGCAUAAGCGAACUCAUACAGGAACAAAACCUUAUGUUUGCAAACAAUAUGGGAAGUGUUUUUCACGAUUAUCUCAUUUACAUAGGCAUGAGCGAAUUCAUAUUGGAGAGAAGCCUUAUGUUUGCAAACAAUGUGAAAAGGGUUUUUCA